GCGGAACCGACACCGGCCUCGUUCGAGUAGAGGCCACGCUUGAUGCCGUACAUCAUGGCCGAUCCCGCGAAACCGCCGAAGAUGGCGUCGAAGUCGAAGGCGCCGUGGAAAAUCGCUGAGAACAUCGCGGGAAUGUUCUGGUAGUUGACGGCGAUGACGACCGCGCCCACACCCAGGUAGAUAAUCGCCAUGAUCGGGACCAUGUAGCCCGUCACGUCGGUGAGGCGGCGAGUACCGCCCAGAAUCGACACGGCCAUGAGGACCGCGAGGAUCGCGCCGACGAUCCACGGCGUCCAGGCAUUCGCCCAGCUGUAGUGCAUGAAGGUGUCAGCCACGUUGUAGGAGGCCAGCAAGUUGAAGCCACCCAUGUAGGUCAGAAUCAAGACGAUUGCGAAGAGGUAGGCAAGCCAGCUCGCCUUCAAAGCAGUCUGGAUGUAGUAGGCCGGGCCACCGUAGGAGUGGUGGGGGCCCCGCUUCUUGUAGAUCUGCGCGAGCGUCGACUCGAUGAAGGCCGAGGCGCCGCCGAGGGUUGCGAUAACCCACAUCCAGAAAACAGAGCCAGCACCGCCGAGAGUCACGGCAGUGGCGACGCCCGCGAUGUUACCGACGCCGACGCGCGAGGCCGUGGAAACCAUCAACGCGCGGAAGGAGGACACGCCGCCUUCCUUCUUCGGGGGCUCCAUGACGACGCGGAGCGCUUCGAUAAACAUGCGCAGCGGAAGCGCGCGAGUGAACAGGAAGAAGAAGAGGCCAACCGCGAUCAGAAGCGCGACGAGCAGGUACGUAUACAUGAAGCCUGAAAUCGUAUCCAGGGUCCCGGCGAGAUCAAAGUCCGGGGGCAGGAGUCCAUUCAUCGUUGUUCCUUGCAUUGUCGGAGGCGGCGAGGCCGCUUGGAUGAUGCAAGUAUAGCCACCAGGUCAACGAUUGGUAAAGUUUAGGGCAAAAAAAUGUGAUGGUUUGGGAAUGGGUACAGCUCGCGCCCCUGUCGAGGGGAGAAUCUUCGCGGCGUAGGGCACAUUCUGUUUGAUAUUCUGUGUGCUGCAACAUGAAAUCAGGCGAUUUUCGGCCUUUAGUGGGGCGAAAAAUCCGCCAAAAUGGCGGAAUCCUGCGGAAAAUGCUCCUUGGGAAAGCGUGGGCGUCGCGAUUUGACGGCCUGCUUGGAAGUGCGUAUUGUUUUCCUUGUUGCGCCGAACGGCAGCGAACGAAGCGAAAAGCUGAAAUCGCGGAAACAUGGCGCAAAACGCCUUUCGAAAACAUGCAGAGCAUCUGUGUGUGUUUGAUCNCUAACCAAUUCGCCUGCACCCCCUCAUGACCUUCGGGUUGUGAGUGUGUGUGUGGGUCUUGGGGUCCUGGUGAUAGUAGGCAAGCGUGUUAACAGGGGUGACGCAGACAGGUAGCUGCAGUGCGCCGAUGGUUGUGCGUAUUUAAGGUUGUGGCCCGCCCCUCAGGUAAAUCCGGGGGGCACCCAGGGUGAGGACUGAUGAGGGACACGUGUGUGCGUGGACUUGUGGUGAUCCUAUGCUGUCAAGAAAAGCCUCGACGUGAGGGCAUGACGCGCCCGUACCCUAAACCGACUCAGGUGGUCAGGUAGAGUAUACCGAGGCGUUCGAGUGAAUCAUGGUUAAGGAACUCGGCAAAAUUCCUCCGUAACUUCGGGAUAAGGAGGACCCCAUGACUUCCUGGCGCCUAGCGUGCUGGUGGGGUUGGGGGGUCGCAGAGAAUAGGGAGAAGCGACUGUUUAUCAAAAACACAGGUGCGUGCGAAGCCGUAAGGCGAUGUAUACGCACUGACGCCUGCCCGGUGCUGGAAGGUUAAGAGGAACUGUUAACACCCCCCCUUGGGGUGUGAAGCGGUGAAUUUAAGCCCCAGUAAACGGCGGUGGUAACUAUAACCAUCCUAAGGUAGCGAAAUUCCUUGUCGGGUAAGUUCCGACCUGCACGAAUGGCGUAACGACUUCUCCGCUGUCUCGACCGUGAACUCGGUGAAAUUGCAGUACGAGUAAAGAUGCUCGUUUCGCGCAGAAGGACGGAAAGACCCCGGGACCUUUACUAUAGCUUGGUAUUGGUGUUCGCUUGGACUUGUGUAGGAUAGGUGGGAGACUGUGAGGCUGCCGCGCUAGCGGUGGUGGAGUCGUCGUUGAAAUACCAUUCUGGUUUAAGCGGUCACCUUAACCUUGGCCCGUGAUCCGGGUUGGGGACAGUGCCUGGUGGGUAGUUUAACUGGGGCGGUUGCCUCCUAAAAUGUAACGGAGGCGCUCAAAGGUUCCCUCAGCCUGGUUGGUAAUCAGGUGGCGAGUGCAAGUGUACAAGGGAGCUUGACUGUGAGACCGACGGGUCGAGCAGGUGCGAAAGCAGGAACUAGUGAUCCGGCCAUGGCACGUGGGUGCGUGGUCGCUCAACGGAUAAAAGGUACCCCGGGGAUAACAGGCUGAUCUUGCCCAAGAGUCCAUAUCGACGGCAUGGUUUGGCACCUCGAUGUCGGCUCGUCGCAUCCUGGGGCUGGAGUUGGUCCCAAGGGUUGGGCUGUUCGCCCAUUAAAGCGGUACGCGAGCUGGGUUCAGAACGUCGUGAGACAGUUCGGUCCCUAUCCUCUGUGCGCGCAGGAAAUUUGAGGAGGGCCGUCCCUAGUACGAGAGGACCGGGAUGGACGAACCUCUGGUGUGCCAGUUGUACCGCCAGGUGCAUGGCUGGUUAGCUACGUUCGGAAGGGAUAACCGCUGAAAGCAUCUAAGCGGGAAGCCUGCUUCAAGAUGAGGUUUCCGCGCCCCCGAUUGUGGGGUGAGAGGCCCCCGCCAGACGAGCGGGUUGAUAGGCCAGAGGUGGAAGCACCGCGAGGUGCUCGUGAGCCGACUGGUACUAAUGGGCCAACACUAAACAAA
This 2878-nucleotide ribosomal RNA is filed under the name Actinomyces bouchesdurhonensis. RNAcentral's name for it is "bacterial LSU rRNA". The stretch from base 1169 to 2878 matches the Rfam family "Bacterial large subunit ribosomal RNA". The record is from RNAcentral. Lineage: Bacteria; Bacillati; Actinomycetota; Actinomycetes; Actinomycetales; Actinomycetaceae.